This 253-nucleotide ribosomal RNA is filed under the name uncultured bacterium. Its description in RNAcentral is "partial 16S ribosomal RNA". It matches the Rfam family "Bacterial small subunit ribosomal RNA", at positions 524 to 776 of the family's 1533-position model. The record is from RNAcentral.
UACGAAGGGGGCUAGCGUUGCUCGGAAUCACUGGGCGUAAAGCGCACGUAGGCGGAUCUUUAAGUCAGGGGUGAAAUCCUGGAGCUCAACUCCAGAACUGCCUUUGAUACUGGGGAUCUCGAGUCCGGAAGAGGUGAGUGGAACUCCGAGUGUAGAGGUGAAAUUCGUAGAUAUUCGGAAGAACACCAGUGGCGAAGGCGGCUCACUGGUCCGGUACUGACGCUGAGGUGCGAAAGCGUGGGGAGCAAGCAGG